Molecule: long non-coding RNA, 243 nt
Organism: Thalassophryne amazonica
Lineage: Eukaryota; Metazoa; Chordata; Actinopteri; Batrachoidiformes; Batrachoididae
Exons: 3
Source: RefSeq, a predicted model, not a curated record
CGCUGUUCCACAGUUGUGUGUACAAACGAGCUCUGGAACUCUGCUGGGACGAAGAUUUCUUUUUCUCUCAGGUCGCACUGAUGGCAGAACUUCUCAAGCUGCAGCAGAAGCAGGAGCUCCCACCUGAGGUGACCGCUGAAGAUCUGACGGACCUUCUGGUGGAGCAAGUCAGCAGGUCAGGGGGAGCGAGGCUGUGGAGGCAGGAACUGAACAUUUAUGAGGACACGGAUAUCUACCACCUUC